Molecule: ribosomal RNA, 61 nt
Filed under: Streptococcus oralis ATCC 35037
Lineage: Bacteria; Bacillati; Bacillota; Bacilli; Lactobacillales; Streptococcaceae
Description: partial 23S ribosomal RNA
Source: RNAcentral
GGUUAAGUUAAUAAGGGCGCACGGUGGAUGCCUUGGCACUAGGAGCCGAAGAAGGACGUGA